UAAGACAUGCAAGUUGAACGGACUUAAUCGAAAUAUUUAUAUUUUGAAGCGGUUAGUGGCGGACUGGUGAGUAACGCGUAAGGAACCUGCCUAUUAGAGGGGAAUAACAGUGAGAAAUCAUUGCUAAUACCGCAUAUGCCAUAGAUAUCACAUGAUAACAGUGGGAAAGGAGCAAUCCGCUAAUAGAUGGCCUUGCGUCUGAUUAGAUAGUUGGUGGGGUAACGGCCUACCAAGUCGACGAUCAGUAGCCGGACUGAGAGGUUGAACGGCCACAUUGGGACUGAGAUACGGCCCAGACUCCUACGGGAGGCAGCAGUCGGGAAUAUUGCGCAAUGGAGGAAACUCUGACGCAGUGACGCCGCGUAUAGGAAGAAGGUUUUCGGAUUGUAAACUAUUGUCGUUAGGGAAGAGAAAGGACAGUACCUAAGGAGGAAGCUCCGGCUAACUACGUGCCAGCAGCCGCGGUAAUACGUAGGGAGCGAGCGUUAUCCGGAAUUAUUGGGUGUAAAGGGUGCGUAGACGGGAGAACAAGUUAGUUGUGAAAUACCUCGGCUCAACUGAGGAACUGCAACUAAAACUGUACUUCUUGAGUGCAGGAGAGGUAAGUGGAAUUCCUAGUGUAGCGGUGAAAUGCGUAGAUAUUAGGAGGAACACCAGUGGCGAAGGCGACUUACUGGACUGUAACUGACGUUGAGGCACGAAAGUGUGGGGAGCAAACAGGAUUAGAUACCCUGGUAGUCCACACCGUAAACGAUGGAUACUAGGUGUAGGAGGUAUUAAGCCUUCUGUGCCGUCGCAAACGCAGUAAGUAUCCCACCUGGGGAGUACGGCCGCAAGGUUGAAACUCAAAGGAAUUGACGGGGGCCCGCACAAGCAGUGGAGUAUGUGGUUUAAUUCGAAGCAACGCGAAGAACCUUACCAGGGCUUGACAUAUAAAGUAAUAUUUAAGAGAUUAAAUAGCUCUUCGGAGACUUUAUACAGGUGGUGCAUGGUUGUCGUCAGCUCGUGUCGUGAGAUGUUGGGUUAAGUCCCGCAACGAGCGCAACCCCUGUACUUAGUUGCCAGCAUGUAGAGAUGGGAACUCUAAGUAGACUGCCGCGAAUAACGCGGAGGAAGGUGGGGAUGACGUCAAAUCAUCAUGCCCCUUAUGAUUUGGGCUACACACGUGCUACAAUGGCGUAAACAAAGGGAAGCGAGAGGGUGACCUGGAGCAAAUCCCAAAAAUAACGUCCCAGUUCGGACUGUAGUCUGCAACCCGACUACACGAAGCUGGAAUCGCUAGUAAUCGCAGAUCAGAAUGCUGCGGUGAAUACGUUCCCGGGUCUUGUACACACCGCCCGUCACACCAUGGGAGUCAGCAACGCCCGAAGUCAGUGACCUAACCGAAAGGGAGGAGCUGCCGAAGGCGGGGCAGGUAACUGGGGUGAAGUC
RNAcentral lists this ribosomal RNA (1431 nucleotides) under uncultured organism. RNAcentral describes it as "16S ribosomal RNA". It matches the Rfam family "Bacterial small subunit ribosomal RNA". The record is from RNAcentral.